CGGAACGGGUGAGUAACACGUGGGCAACCUGCCCAAAGAGGGGAUAACACUUGGAAACAGGUGCUAAUACCGCAUAACCAUAGUUACCGCAUGGUAGCUAUGUAAAAGGUGGCUAUGCUACCGCUUUUGGAUGGGCCCGCGGCGCAUUAGCUAGUUGGUGGGGUAAAGGCUUACCAAGGCAAUGAUGCGUAGCCGAACUGAGAGGUUGAUCGGCCACAUUGGGACUGAGACACGGCCCAAACUCCUACGGAAGGCAGCAG
Molecule: ribosomal RNA, 260 nt
Filed under: uncultured bacterium
Lineage: Bacteria
Description: partial 16S ribosomal RNA
Rfam family: Bacterial small subunit ribosomal RNA
Source: RNAcentral